This 253-nucleotide ribosomal RNA is filed under the name uncultured bacterium. Its description in RNAcentral is "partial 16S ribosomal RNA". It matches the Rfam family "Bacterial small subunit ribosomal RNA", at positions 524 to 776 of the family's 1533-position model. The record is from RNAcentral.
UACAGGGGGUGCAAACGUUGCUCGGAAUCAUUGGGCGUAAAGCGCACGUAGGCGGUUCGUUAUGUCGGAUGUGAAAGCCCUUGGCUUAACCGAGGAAGUGCAUCCGAAACUGGCGAGCUAGAGUACUAAAGAGGAUCGCGGAAUUCCCGGUGUAGAGGUGAAAUUCGUAGAUAUCAGGAGGAACACCUGUGGCGAAAGCGGCUCACUGGACCAUAACUGACGCUGAUGCACGAAAGCUAGGGGAGCAAACAGG